ACUCCUACGGGAGGCAGCAGUGGGGAAUAUUGGACAAUGGGCGCAAGCCUGAUCCCAGCCCAUGCCGCGUGUGUGAAGAAGGCCUUCGGGUUGUAAAGCACUUUCAGCGAGGAGGAAAGGUUAAGUGUUAAUAGCACUUUAGCUGUGACGUUACUCGCAGAAGAAGCACCGGCUAACUCCGUGCCAGCAGCCGCGGUAAUACGGAGGGUGCAAGCGUUAAUCGGAAUUACUGGGCGUAAAGCGCAUGCAGGUGGUUUGUUAAGUCAGAUGUGAAAGCCCGGGGCUCAAGCCUCGGAAUAGCAUUUUGAAACUGGCAAGCUAGAGUACUGUAGAGGGGUGGAGAAUUUUCAGGUGUAGCGGUGAAAUGCGUAGAGAUCUGAAGGAAUACCGGUGGCGAAGGCGGCCCCNGCCUGACAGAUACUGACACUCAGAUGCGAAAGCGUGGGGAGCAAACAGGAUUAGAUA
RNAcentral lists this ribosomal RNA (465 nucleotides) under uncultured bacterium. RNAcentral's name for it is "bacterial SSU rRNA". It matches the Rfam family "Bacterial small subunit ribosomal RNA", at positions 335 to 784 of the family's 1533-position model. The record is from RNAcentral.